GAAUUUGAAUCCAGGUCGGCCAGUCUCCAGAAUCUCUGCAUAACUGGGGUCCGUCACCUAGUGCCGUUCCAAGGCUUGUAUCGCUGCUGUCUCAAUAGGUAGAGGUCCCUUAGAAAUGCCAGCCAUGCCCCGUAAUCCUACAGCACAUGCCGUCGCUCUGCCCUGUCAGCUGUUUCUGUCACCCAGCCUCCUUUUGUCUUGGGAUGUCCUGACGAUGGGGUUCGGUGCCUUUCACCCACAUGCGGUUCCUUUCUCAUGGAGCUGAAGAGAGCAGUUGUUUGGCUGGAGGUUUUAUUCUGUGGUGGCCGAGAACUUGAGUUGGGACAUCAGACAGAUCAGCUAGUGAAUAAUAAAAGUGGAAAGAGUAAUCCUCUCAACUACCCUGGGUCAUCGUGGGAGAUGAAAUGAGAUACCCCCACCCUGAGGCACUUAGUUCAGCAUGUGGCAUAUUUAUUGAGUAGUUAGCUAUUAUUAUUAGCUCACUCUGAAUUACGGAACUGAUCAAACCAUGUGUCUUGAUUUUAUUCUUAAUUUAGAAAGUCCCCAUAAUCCUCAGUUAUGACUGGCAAAGAACGAGGGGUCUGCAGUGGAGACCAGCUGCCCAAUUUUCACUUUUCCUCAGGAGUUGACAUCAAAAUUACUAUCUGUGUGCCUUUGUCCUGGCAUAGAGCUGAAUGUUAUUUACUAGUUCUCUUCUUGGCUACACAGGGGUGGCAGUCCCCUCUGUUCUUCCACCCUUACUGCAAGGUUGAAAAUUUGUAGAAGUUUCUUGAGUAACACUGACUCUAAGGGCUCGAUCUCAAUAACUGCUGUGUGUGGAACAUGGGCUUCCUGUGAAUUGUAUUUUGAAGUGUUUUCACUGACUCCUGAAGUAGAUUAAUCCAAAUGCUGAGGAAGGAAUAACAACUGCCAUUUUAUAGGUAGGAAAUUGAGUUUUAGAGGUUGCGUUUUAGAGAAUUUGCCAAGAAUCCAGCUAUUAGUGGUGGAGUUGGGAUUCUAAUCAGGACGGGCUCACUUACGAGCCUGUAGUGUUAACCUCUCGGCAGAAAUUGCUUUGGCUCAUGCCCUUAGCGUGACGGUGGCCUCGGAAGGGGAGGAAGAGGACCUGUCAGGGUUACAAGGCUGUGCCUUCGAGGCCUGGCCCUGGGAGAGACACCGAGAGGCCCAGAGCUGCCUGUUAACGGAUUAGUCGGAGAGGCUUCUUUUCCUCACAGGUCAUAUCUUAUCAAUUGAGAACACUUUCCACCUAGAAGACACAUGCUUAUUGUAAGACAACUGGGUCCCCCCUGUUUGUGUUCGUGAGUCUGAGACUAGCCAACAUCACCAUGUUCAGCUUGCCACGGAUGGGCUCUCCUCAGAGUUUCUUUCUGGUGAUUAUCCAAGAUGUAUUAAUUCACUUAGCAUCUUUCUUGCACAGCGGAGGACCUGAAUUGCUCAGGAAAGAAGGCAGGAUGCUACCUGAGUUCCCAGUCAUGGAGCUUGUUCUUCACAGGUAGUUAACAUGAAUAAACACGCAGCCUCCAACAGGUGCCUGCGAACUGCUGCCCGCUCCCCACCCUGGCAGCAGCACACUUUCGGUGGGCUGCAGAUCCAGAGGCGUAAAGCGGUGGGCUUGUGUGUUAUGGGCUUGGGGUGUGUUCCUUUUCCAGGGGCUUUUAAAAAAUGGUAAUAUCCCAAAUCCUUAGACUGCUUUGCCUCGUUGGACUAUUUAUUCAACGGUGCUAUAUUUAGAUUUUGUAUAUGUGUAUAGUUUUUAUUCCUUCACAAUUGAACAAACUGUUGAUAAGUUUGAGUAUGGUGAGCCUCUCAUUAAAACUUGAAGUUUUGCUAUUUUUGCUACACUUAAUAUUUUCUUUUAUUUAUUUUUUUGCUGCACCUGUGGCAUAUGGAAGUUCCUGGGCCAUGGAUCGAAUCCAGGCCAUAGCUGCAACCUAUGGCCGAGCUGCGGCGAUGCCAGAUCCUUAACCCAUUGUACCAUAGCAGGAACUCCUGCAUUUACUAUUUUAAACUUGUUUUGCUUGGGUUACAUCUCAGAGCUAGGUGUAUCACCAGAAUUAGCAUUUUAAGCUUUCCAUUUUCUCCUCUCAUUAAAAAACAGCAAUAACAAUCUGGGCUGGUGUUUGAAAGAAACUUCAGGUUUAUAAGGAGCUUUGUGGCUGCUGAGAUCUGUUCCGUUUCGCUGCUAGGGUCCAGCAGGAUAGGGAGAACUCUUUCUCUUGUAUUGUCAGCUCCUUAGUAGGGACAUAGCACAAAGACACAGUCAGGUAAUUUUGCCACACUGUUGAGCCCGUGGCUGGUGACACUGCUGUUAUUGAAUUGCGGGCAGGCCGGCAGGCGACACCACCAUGGGAUACCUGGGGAAUGUGGUGUUUGACCGUCUCGGCCUGAACGAAGGGUGAAGCACUGCCCGAGGAUCCGCCCAGAUGCCGGGCUUUUGCCGGCGGAUGGUGGCUGUCAGGCACCCGCUGGAGCUCAGGCUUUUCAGAACUUCAAUGCCCACAUCUUUGGCAUUAUCCUUUCUGGAUCCCUGCCACCAUAAUAAUAACAUUAAGAAUAAUAAUAUCUUCACUUGGCAAACCCGAAAAUGACUCUGGACUACCUAUACCUCUUCUAAAAAAGGCAGCUUGAGCCAGCUGUUGAAUUUCAUACAUGAUAUGAUUUGUUUCACCUUCCAACUCCAGGCUGGAGCUGAGAAACUGGGUGUUUUUAUUCAAAGCCUUAAUUCAUAUCCAUAUGAAAUUUUCUUGUCUCUCUCUUAUUCUUCCAACAUCCUGUUUUGUGAAAGGAGUGCCAGCUUCCCCUUUUCCCCUCCCUGUUUUGAAACAGUUGCUUAGAAAACGCUUGUCUGUCAUUCCGGGACAGAAAAGCUAACUGAGGACAGAGUCGCUACUGGUCAUUUUCAGGUGAGGAGGGAGCAGGCGCCGUGAGCCUGAUAUCCACCAGCUUUUCAACAAUGUUCUUCCCUCCCUUCCACUCUGCCAGGAUUCAGAGUGGACCAGGUGGUUUUGCAGAAAUAAUGCAUCCAUUGGACAAGUAGAAUGGUGAACUGGACUGAGGUAGCUUUUUCAUCUGUUUUCUCCAAGGGACCUAUGAAAUGGGUCUGUUUAGAUGACUUUGAGGAUCUUAUAUAAUUAUUUAAAAUUAGAAUGACUAAUAAGAUAGAUAUUUAUUGGGCCUUAGAAUUAACAGUCACCUGGGGUGCUUGUUCAAAAAUGCAGAUUUUUGGAGUUCCCAUCGUGGCUCAGCCAGGGAUCGAACCUGCAACCUCAUGGAUACCAGUCAGAUUUGCUUUCACUGCACCACGAUGGGAACUCCAGACCAGUUUGUUAAUUAUGCAGUGUGGGUACCAUAGAAGUAUAAAACAGAUUGGAAAAAUGGUUAUUCAUAUAUUUUACAGUAUUUUUUUAGAAUUUUGCAAGUAAUGUUAUUCUGUUACAUGUAAACAAGUGGAAUAUAGCUGCUCUUGGGACACCAGUUAAUAUCAGAGGUAACAGUGGGCUUGUGGCUAAGAUCUUGGAAACACAGUCACUUUAAGGCAACACGAAAAGGGGUAGAGAAGCG
RNAcentral lists this long non-coding RNA (3561 nucleotides) under Sus scrofa (pig). Its description in RNAcentral is "lncRNA (ENSSSCG00015018964.1)". The record is from RNAcentral. Lineage: Eukaryota; Metazoa; Chordata; Mammalia; Artiodactyla; Suidae.